CGUAGGGUGCAAGCGUUAAUCGGAAUUACUGGGCGUAAAGCGUGCGCAGGCGGUUGUGCAAGACAGGUGUGAAAUCCCCGGGCUUAACCUGGGAACUGCACUUGUGACUGCACGGCUGGAGUACGGCAGAGGGGGAUGGAAUUCCGCGUGUAGCAGUGAAAUGCGUAGAUAUGCGGAGGAACACCGAUGGCGAAGGCAGUCCCCUGGGCCUGUACUGACGCUCAUGCACGAAAGCGUGGGGAGCAAACAGGAUUAGAUACCCUGGUAGUCCACGCCCUAAACGAUGUCAACUGGUUGUUGGGAAGGUUUCUUCUCAGUAACGUAGCUAACGCGUGAAGUUGACCGCCUGGGGAGUACGGCCGCAAGGUUG
RNAcentral lists this ribosomal RNA (370 nucleotides) under uncultured organism. RNAcentral's name for it is "bacterial SSU rRNA". It matches the Rfam family "Bacterial small subunit ribosomal RNA", at positions 526 to 896 of the family's 1533-position model. The record is from RNAcentral.